Molecule: unclassified non-coding RNA, 330 nt
Filed under: uncultured Herpotrichiellaceae
Lineage: Eukaryota; Fungi; Ascomycota; Eurotiomycetes; Chaetothyriales; Herpotrichiellaceae
Description: sequence contains ITS1
Rfam family: 5.8S ribosomal RNA (bases 1-106)
Source: RNAcentral
GAAAUGCGAUAAGUAAUGCGAAUUGCAGAAUUUCAGUGAGUCAUCGAAUCUUUGAACGCACAUUGCGCCCUUUGGUAUUCCGAAGGGCAUGCCUGUUCGAGCGUCAUUAUCAACCCUCAAGCCCCCUCGGGGUUUGGUUUUGGAUGGCUUGGUCGGUCAAAACGACCCGUCCUAAAGACAAUGACGGCGGUGGACGUGAUUGCACCCGGUACACUGAGCUUCUUUAUUGAGCAUGUAUCAGGACGCAGCCGACCCUCCGGUCUUCUCCCUCACGGGAACCUUUUUUACAAGAUUGACCUCGAAUCAGGUAGGAAUACCCGCUGAACUUAA